This 491-nucleotide ribosomal RNA is filed under the name uncultured bacterium. Its description in RNAcentral is "partial 16S ribosomal RNA". It matches the Rfam family "Bacterial small subunit ribosomal RNA", at positions 28 to 507 of the family's 1533-position model. The record is from RNAcentral.
GAUGAACGCUGGCUACAGGCUUAACACAUGCAAGUCGAGGGGAAACGACGGGGAAGUUGGCUUCCCCGGGCGUCGACCGGCCCCCGGGGGGUUAACGCUUAUCCAACCUGCCCCUAAUUAGGGGUUAACCCUCCGAAAUCCGCCCUAAUACCCCUGGGUACCUCUGGCGGGCUUCCAACACCGUUAAAAGAUUUCUUCGGUCGGGAUGGGGGAUGCGUCUGAUUAGCUUGUUGGCGGGGUAACGGCCCACCAAGGCUACGAUCAGUAGGGGUUCUGAGAGGAAGGUCCCCCACAUUGGAACUGAGACACGGUCCAAACUCCUACGGGAGGCAGCAGUGAGGAAGAUUGGUCAAUGGGCGAGAGCCUGAACCAGCCAAGUAGCGUGCAGGAAGACGGCCCUAUGGGUUGUAAACUGCUUUUAUGCGGGGAUAAAGUGAGGGACGUGUCCCUCAUUGCAGGUACCGCAUGAAUAAGGACCGGCUAAUUCCGUG